RNAcentral lists this unclassified non-coding RNA (5379 nucleotides) under Leishmania donovani. RNAcentral describes it as "gene:LdHU3.15.1870(CDS-product:cAMP_specific_phos phodiesterase_putative)". Lineage: Eukaryota; Euglenozoa; Kinetoplastea; Trypanosomatida; Trypanosomatidae. The record is from RNAcentral.
UAUGCCUCUCUCCUCUCCAGCUCCACGUGCGCACACUGACCAUCAUCAAAGGGAAGCCACCAACGACACCCAAGAAACUUGACCGGCAUUUGAGGUUCUUCAAAAAGCGGCCUGAGGUGCAGCUGCACUGGAACAUUUUGGGGACACAAGCUCGCAUGUGUGCACGGCCGCGCACGGGACCCAUCAUUGUCUCUUCCGCUCUGUUGCUCCUGUCGCCGCUCUCCAUGGUGACACACACACACACACACAUACAAGCGAGCCCAAUACACGCAAACGCCGCACGACCUCUUUUUUGUUCGUUUGUUCUUUUUUUGUUGUUUUUUUUUUUUCAGUUCGUAUCGGCCGCUGUCUUCUAUUUUUUAUCAACUGGCAGUGACGCCGUGCAGCGAUGUAUUCAGCAGUCUUUUCCCCCGCUGCGCCCUAUUGCGGCGUAGCCGGCUCCAGUCACUUAUGUGAGGCAGUUGCGCUCUGCCAGUCGAUUCUGGCGCGCUACCGUCGGACUGGUACAUCCUUCUCCUCCACGGAGCUGAAGGCGAUUCAGGCCCUGCGCACUGAACUCCCUGAUACCGCGCAAGGGCCGGCUGCGAAUAGCGCGGGUUCACCGCACCAGACCACGAAUGACCUCCUCAACAUCCUCGACGAUGCAACCGACAUGCCACACAACCCACACGACGACAUUGUCGCGUUUGUGGAGGAGUGCUGCGACAACACCAAGGACCCAACAGUGCUGUUCGCGGCGAUUAAUGAGCGCAUUUCAGCUGUUACUUGCUCGCGUAAUGUCCGCACCUACAUGGUGAUCACAAACGACAAUCUCCUAUGGGACCCCGUCAACGGCGUUGCCGCCCUUAUCGACGACGUCACGCCCUUGGGCAAGUGCGCGCAAGCGCACAACAUGCUGACAAUUGCCAGCACCCUAUACAUCCCCCUCUGGUUUCGGUCCGAGCUCGUUGGAUGCGUGGAGGCGCCGAGUGGCUGCAUCCCAAGACACAAGGCUACCUAUGCUCAGCUUCUGCUCCGGAGCGUCACCGUUGCCGUCCGCAACAGCAUCAACAUCUCCAUCAGAAAGAGCGAAGCAAAUAAGAUUGAAGCCAUGGUGAGCAUGGCGACACGGCUUGCUCGAGACACGUUGGAGGAGUCGGUGCUGGUGCAGUCCAUCAUUAACACGGCAAAGACGCUGACGGAGAGCGACCGGUGUAGCAUCUUCCUGGUGAAAGCGGACGGCAGCCUGGAGGCGCACUUCGAGGACGGCAACGUUGUGGUGCUGCCUGCGGGGACGGGCAUCGCAGGCCACGUUGUGGAAUCUGGCGCCGUUGUGAACAUCCCGAACGCGUACGAGGACGAGCGGUUUAACCGGUCCGUGGACAAGGUGACUGGCUACCACACGCGCACGAUCCUGUGUCUGCCGAUCGCGUUCGAGGGCACGAUCGUUGCCGUUGCGCAGCUGAUCAACAAGCUGGACAUGGUGACACAGAGCGGGCAACGGCUUCCGCGCGUGUUUGGGCGGCGCGACGAGGAGCUGUUCGAGACGUUCUCGAUGUUCGCUGCCGCGUCGCUGCGCAACUGCCGCAUCAACGAGACGCUGCUGAAGGAAAAGAAGAAGAGCGACGCGAUCCUGGACGUUGUGGCGCUGCUGUCGAACACGGACAUCCGCGAUGUGGACAGCAUUGUGCGGCACGUGCUGCAUGGCGCGAAGAAGCUGCUGAACGCGGACAGGUCAUCGAUGUUUCUGCUGGAUAAGGAGCGCAACGAGCUGUACAGCAAGAUGGCGGACAGCGCGAACGAGAUCCGGUUUCCCUGCGGGCAAGGCAUUGCCGGCACUGUUGCCGAGUCCGGCGUUGGCGAGAACAUCAUGGACGCGUACGCUGACUCGCGCUUCAACAGCGCUGUGGACCGGCAGCUGGGCUACCGCACACAGUCCAUCCUGUGCGAGCCGAUUAUGCUGAAUGGCGAGGUGCUUGCCGUGGUGCAGCUCGUCAACAAGCUCGGCGACGACGGUAGCGUGACCUGCUUUACGCCCAUGGACCGGGAAACGUUCCAAGUCUUCUCGCUGUUUGCGGGCAUCUCGAUCAACAACAGCCAUCUGCUGGAGUUCGCGGUGAACGCAGGUCGUGAGGCAAUGACCUUGAGCCUGCAGCGCAACAGCAUUACGGCGCAGCGUGCUCCGAAGAGGGUGAAGGUGAUCGCGGUGACGCCGGAGGAGCGUGAGGCAGUGGUAUCGAUUGACUUCGGGGACGCAUAUGACUUCACUUCACCGGACUUCAACCUGUUUGAAGUGCGCGAGAAGUACAGCGAGCCGAUGGAUGCAGCUGCCGGUGUUGUGUAUAACCUGCUAUGGAGCAGUGGCCUACCUGAGAAGUUUGGCUGCCGUGAGCAGACACUGCUGAACUUCAUCUUGCAGUGCCGCCGCAGGUACCGCCGCGUGCCGUACCACAACUUCUACCACGUCGUGGACGUGUGCCAGACGCUGCACACUUACUUGUACACAGGCAAGGCGUCGGAGCUCCUGACGGAGCUGGAGUGCUACGUGCUGCUCGUGACGGCACUGGUGCACGACCUUGACCACAUGGGCGUGAACAACAGCUUCUACCUGAAGACAGACUCGCCGCUGGGUAUUCUCUCCAGCGCGAGCGGGAACAACUCCGUGCUGGAGGUGCACCACUGCAGCCUCGCCAUCGAGAUUCUGUCCGACCCCGCCGCGGACGUGUUCGAGGGGCUGAGCGGGCAGGACGUCGCGUACGCGUACCGCGCGCUGAUCGACUGUGUGCUGGCCACCGAUAUGGCAAAGCACGCUGACGCGCUAAGUCGCUUCACAGAGUUGGCUACGAGCGGAUUUGAUAAAGAGAACGAGGCCCACCGCCGCAUGGUGAUGGAAACGCUGAUCAAGGCCGGUGACGUGUCGAAUGUGACGAAGCCGUUCGAGACGUCUCGCAUGUGGGCGAUGGCUGUGACGGAGGAGUUCUACCGCCAGGGUGACAUGGAGAAGGAGAAGGGCGUGGAGGUGCUACCGAUGUUUGACCGGUCGAAGAACAACGAGCUGGCGCGUGGGCAGAUUGGCUUCAUUGACUUCGUAGCUGGCAAGUUCUUCCGGGAUAUUGUGGGCAACCUAUUUCAUGGAAUGCAGUGGUGUGUGGACACGGUAAACUCCAACCGCGCAAAAUGGCAAGAGAUCCUGGAUGGCCGCCGCGACUCCACCCGAUCCUCGAUUGUUUAAGGCGUCGGUCCCGUGGUAUCAUCGAUGCCUGCGAUGCGAGGAAGUACUUACGGCCAAUGUCUUUUGAGAAGUGAAAGCGGUGUGCUGGCUCCUCAAGAAGGACGGUAUGAGGGACGUUGGUCGCCGCUCUGCUGGUCGUGUCUACGCGUCUUGCCCCCACCUCAGUACGCGCAACAAGCCGUAAUUUCCCUUUAUACCCGUCGCUAUACUCGCGGCGCGGAAUGGUUUGUGUGCUGGCGAGACUGCCUCUCUCUGCUCCAGGACCUUUCCUGGUUGAUGGGCGCCUCUCGCACUGCUGAGGACAAGGUGUGGCACAUGUGGUUAUGUGAGUUGUGUUUGUUUUUUCGGCUGUCGUCUUCUCUCCUCUGUCCUCGCUAUUAGCCUUUUUCUGAGCGGACCUCUCUAUAUGCUCUUCUGUCGGAGGAGCGGUUUACCUUUGAAGGCUGAACUGUACAGAAUGGGAGGAGUGAGCAGUGCACACGCACGACACAUACUUCUCUCUUCAUCCGCCUCUCCUUUGGCGUGUGUGCGCCCCGAAGACGGUUUCCUGCCUUUGCAUCCUUUUCUCCCCUUUUUCUUUGCUGUCUUUCGUUGUCAUUCCCGAAUCUCACCCGCCUCCCCCUCUCCCGUUUUUUCCUCGUAGGUGUGUGCGGCUGUGCUCCUGGUGAAACGGGGUGGGGUGGGGGCACCCGGCAGCGCGUGGCGCUCCCGGGGGGGGGUCAUCCGUGCACCCCAACUCUGUCUCUGGGGAGGAAGCCCAGCAGCGCCCCCUCCUCUCCCUCCUAUAUCCCUGCCAGUGCGGGACCGCUUCUCCUGGUGACAGGGUCAAGCACCUACAACGUAGGGAGGUCAGAGUAAGAUGGCGCUGCGGAUGGCGGCCGUCAGGUGCCGGAUGGCGUUGCACCGGAGCAACCUGCGACAGCGCACACACACGAUUCAUGUGAUGGGCAGAGAGUGUCGGCGUGACUCAAACGCAUCCCACCCCCGGCCCUCACACCGUCCUGCUACUGUUGGGGAGCCUGUGCCAUCGCGAUGGGAUCGCACCGUGUGGCGACCGGCACAACGUGAGCGGCUGCGGGGCGACCUGUGAGGGCGGGUGGGUGGCGGCUAGAGUUUGAGGCGGAGGCCGAGCCCUCAGAUGACCGAGUUGGUGCACUGCUGUCACGUGUGUCUCUGCAGCUGCUUCGCACCAGGCGAUAGGGGCCUGUGACAGGGCCCGGUGCAAGAGUGGGAUUCGACCUCAUGUUGCAUGGCAGAGAAAUAGAUAUGCUGUAUCUCCCCCCUCCUUAACUCAUGCCCAUCUCUGGUGUCACCUAUUACCUGUCCUUCUUAGUGUGUUGGUGCACUCGUGUCGUUCUCGUGUCCCUCCUCAUUUCUUUUUUGAAGUUUCUUGGGUCGGCCGUGAGAGGCGAUGGGUGAAGGAACCGUCAGGCUUGCGUUGUGUGAUGUCGACAAGAACAAUGCGGCAGCUCUUCCGUCGUUGUCCUCCCUCCUCCCGCUUCUUUUCGGCGAGGAAAGCAGCAGACUUGUGUAGCACAGGGUGCUGCUGGCGCCUGCUGUGUGGCAUGUGCGACGAGGCCUCGCGCAAACUGCGUGUGGUCGCUGGAGGGGGUACUGCGACGGGGAGGAUAUUGCGAGGCAACGUGUGCGAGAUAAGGUCGUGGCACAGAGAGGAUACGGCUAUGAGAGCGCUGUGUGCUGUGGGUGCUCCCUCAAAGUUCUUGCGAAAGCUCCGUUCAAAAGUGAGGAAGUUGGGACGAGGGAGCAUGCAUGGACGGACUCGUCGUCUCAUGACCUCCUUUCGGUGCCACCAUUACCACCCCUCACACCUCCUUUUUCUCCCCCAUAUACAGCGUCCCUUUUUUCUUGUUUGCUUCUCCUCCUCCUGUGUUUGCUUUCAUGCAUGUAAUCCAUACGCGGUGGGCGGACUACACCGCCACCCCACUGCCCUCCCCUCUCCCAGUCUUUUCCUCCUCGUUUAGCGUCCUCUUUUUCUUGGCACCCCUCUUUCCCCCGAGCGACGCAACGCCUCCACCUCCCCCUUUCCAACCUGUAUAUCGCACCCCUGUGCCCCUUGCGCGCGCCUCUUACUGUACCGUAACCGUUUUCGCGUACAUGGGCACCAUCUCGGCUUUACUUGUAUAUUAGUCUGGCUUGCCGAACUCAUG